RNAcentral lists this long non-coding RNA (367 nucleotides) under Vigna radiata. RNAcentral's name for it is "long non-coding RNA (VRAD_LNC008062)". The record is from RNAcentral. Lineage: Eukaryota; Viridiplantae; Streptophyta; Magnoliopsida; Fabales; Fabaceae.
UUUUCACUACUAAUCAUUAAGGAAGAUGCGCUUUCUGAUUGCGUUUUCUAAAUUUCCAAAGCUUACAUUCCAACUUAUGCCUUAAUUUCAUUUCUGCUGCACUACUAAAAAUGAUUCACGCACUUUGGCAUUAAUUUCAUUUCUGCUGCAUGGUUUUACAAACACGUUUCUUUGAGGUUUGGUCCAGUUGCUUUGCUUCAAUGUUGAUUGCAAUUUCCUCGUUUCAUUUUAACAAUGUUAAAUGCAUUUUUUUCCAAGCUUUAUUCCCGUUUCAAUUAAUUCACGCCCCUUUCAUUUAUUAGCUGAGUAGAUGCAUUCAAUAACAUGCACGGUGCUUUAUUCACCAUGCUUGAUCCCUGUUUCCUUU